Frankliniella occidentalis (western flower thrips) is the source of this 561-nucleotide long non-coding RNA. RefSeq lists it as uncharacterized. The record is from RefSeq and is a predicted model, not a curated record. The transcript has 3 exons. NCBI's taxonomy places the organism in Eukaryota, Metazoa, Arthropoda, Insecta, Thysanoptera, Thripidae.
CGGCGAGCCGCCAUCCGACCCCCCUGCGCGAGCACUCCGCGCGCCGAGCCGAGCCGAGCGGUGCCGAGGAGCGAGCCGAGAGUCGAGCCGGGGCGUGUGCGCGCGGGGCGGGGCGGAGCCGAGCCGAACGGCAUCAGCUGUGCGCGCCCGUCGCGCGUGUUUGCUCGUGAGCGCGUUGCGUGUCGUGGCCGGCGCCCCCGUGAGGGUGUCAUGUCAUUCUGGUGCCGUCGAACACUGUGCUGUCGCCCACAUGUCCUGGCCGCCACGAUUGUCUGAGGAUUGAAUGUCGCGGAGUCUUCAGUAGCCACCCACCGAAGGAUAUGGGGCCAGGUGGGACUCGGCCGCCAGGGCCUCGGCAGCCGCGGUCGGCGCCACUGCUGCUGCUGCCGCUGUUGCUGCUGGCGGGGCUGGCGGGGUUGGCGGCGGGGCUGGCCGUGCUGCCGCCCACCCCAGCCUGCCGCCUGUCCGAGUACUUCUGCGACAACGGGCGCUGCGUGCCGCUCAACCGCUACUGCGACGCGGCCGACGACUGCGGAGACGCUUCGGAUGAGCCGCGCGGCU